RNAcentral lists this ribosomal RNA (581 nucleotides) under Trichoderma sp. ID2-3. RNAcentral's name for it is "eukaryotic LSU rRNA". The stretch from base 209 to 362 matches the Rfam family "5.8S ribosomal RNA". The record is from RNAcentral. Lineage: Eukaryota; Fungi; Ascomycota; Sordariomycetes; Hypocreales; Hypocreaceae.
CAUUACCGAGUUUACAACUCCCAAACCCAAUGUGAACGUUACCAAACUGUUGCCUCGGCGGGAUCUCUGCCCCGGGUGCGUCGCAGCCCCGGACCAAGGCGCCCGCCGGAGGACCAACCUAAAACUCUUAUUGUAUACCCCCUCGCGGGUUUUUUUUAUAAUCUGAGCCUUCUCGGCGCCUCUCGUAGGCGUUUCGAAAAUGAAUCAAAACUUUCAACAACGGAUCUCUUGGUUCUGGCAUCGAUGAAGAACGCAGCGAAAUGCGAUAAGUAAUGUGAAUUGCAGAAUUCAGUGAAUCAUCGAAUCUUUGAACGCACAUUGCGCCCGCCAGUAUUCUGGCGGGCAUGCCUGUCCGAGCGUCAUUUCAACCCUCGAACCCCUCCGGGGGGUCGGCGUUGGGGAUCGGCCCUCCCUUAGCGGGUGGCCGUCUCCGAAAUACAGUGGCGGUCUCGCCGCAGCCUCUCCUGCGCAGUAGUUUGCACACUCGCAUCGGGAGCGCGGCGCGUCCACAGCCGUUAAACACCCAACUUCUGAAAUGUUGACCUCGGAUCAGGUAGGAAUACCCGCUGAACUUAAGCAUA